CAACGAGUCUCCCUGUAUACCCCACAAUAGCAAGCUUUCAUUCAUGGCUACCCAACUCUUCUUCAUUCAAACUCCCGACCCUUCUCGCCCACUUGUGAAAUUCCUAUAAAACUCCCAUAUAAUCCCUCUUUUUGCACUUCCACCCCUCACCAUCUCUUGUGGUUUAUGCUCCCUCAAGACUGUUUCAAGCUCCAAAGCUCGAUCAUCAUCAAUUGUUCACGCUGUGCAAGAAGAAGAAGUUAUUCAAGCUCCAAAUUCAGAUUCCUCAACUGCCCCUCCUUCGUCUUCCAAGCUUGUUCUUGUUGCUGGCGGCACUGUUGGUGGGAAGGGUCCGGAAACGAUCCCCAGAAAUGGCAACAACUGUUUAAAGCUGCCGAUGAUCAGCCUCAGAAUGUAUCAUUGGAUUCAAGAGAUUAUGAUAUAUACAAAAAUAAGGCUUGUAAGUUCUGCACAUUAUGAUAAAUAUUGUACACAUUAUAUAAGGUUUGUGAUGGUAAACAGGGACAAAGCCAGGAUAUUUAUAUUGGGGGACCUCAAUGUAAUGUUCAAUCAAUAACGGGUUUAAAGAA
Mangifera indica (mango) is the source of this 569-nucleotide long non-coding RNA. RefSeq lists it as uncharacterized. The record is from RefSeq and is a predicted model, not a curated record. The transcript has 2 exons. Lineage: Eukaryota; Viridiplantae; Streptophyta; Magnoliopsida; Sapindales; Anacardiaceae.